UGAACGCUGGCGGCGUGCCUAAUACAUGCAAGUCGAGCGAACAGACGAGGAGCUUGCUCCUCUGCCGUUAGCGGCGGACGGGUGAGUAACACGUGGAUAACCUACCUAUGAGACUGGGAUAACUUCGGGAAACCGGAGCUAAUACCGGAUAAUAUAUUGAACCGCAUGGUUCAAUAGUGAAAGACGGUUUUGCUGUCACUUAUAGAUGGAUCCGCGCCGCAUUAGCUAGUUGGUAAGGUAACGGCUUACCAAGGCAACGAUGCGUAGCCGACCUGAGAGGGUGAUCGGCCACACUGGAACUGAGACACGGUCCAGACUCCUACGGGAGGCAGCAGUAGGGAAUCUUCCGCAAUGGGCGAAAGCUUGACGGAGCAACGCCGCGUGAGUGAUGAAGGUCUUCGGAUCGUAAAACUCUGUUAUUAGGGAAGAACAAAUGUGUAAGUAACUAUGCACGUCUUGACGGUACCUAAUCAGAAAGCCACGGCUAACUACGUG
This 495-nucleotide ribosomal RNA is filed under the name uncultured bacterium. RNAcentral's name for it is "partial 16S ribosomal RNA". It matches the Rfam family "Bacterial small subunit ribosomal RNA", at positions 30 to 507 of the family's 1533-position model. The record is from RNAcentral.